RNAcentral lists this ribosomal RNA (846 nucleotides) under uncultured archaeon. RNAcentral's name for it is "bacterial SSU rRNA". It matches the Rfam family "Archaeal small subunit ribosomal RNA", at positions 75 to 922 of the family's 1478-position model. The record is from RNAcentral.
CAAUUGGCGAACUGCUCAGUAACACGUGGACAACCUGCCCUUAGGUUGGGUAUAAACCCGGGAAACUGGGUAUAAUACCCGAUAGGUCUCGAUUGCUGGAAUGCAUCGAGAUUUAAAGCUCCGGCGCCUAAGGAUGGGUCUGCGGCCUAUCAGGUAGUAGUGGGUGUAGCGUACCUACUAGCCUACGACGGGUACGGGUUGUGAGAGCAAGAGCCCGGAGAUGGAUUCUGAGACACGAAUCCAGGCCCUACGGGGUGCAGCAGGCGCGAAAACUUUACAAUGCUGGCAACAGCGAUAAGGGAACCUCGAGUGCCAGGUUACAAAUCUGGCUGUCGAGAUGCCUAAAAGGCAUUUCAUAGCAAGGGCCGGGCAAGACCGGUGCCAGCCGCCGCGGUAACACCGGCGGCUCGAGUGGUAACCGUUAUUAUUGGGUCUAAAGGGUCUGUAGCCGGCCGGAUAAGUCUCUUGAGAAAUCUGGCAGCUUAACUGUCAGGCUUUCAGGAGAUACUGUCUGGCUCGAGGCCGGGAGAGGUGAGAGGUACUUCAGGGGUAGGGGUGAAAUCUUGUAAUCCUUGAAGGACCACCAGUGGCGAAGGCGUCUCACCAGAACGGACCUGACGGCAAGGGACGAAAGCUAGGGGCACGAACCGGAUUAGAUACCCGGGUAGUCCUAGCCGUAAACGAUACUCGCUAGGUGUCGGCCACGGUGCGACCGUUGUCGGUGCCGUAGGGAAGCCGUGAAGCGAGCCACCUGGGAAGUACGGCCGCAAGGCUGAAACUUAAAGGAAUUGGCGGGGGAGCACCACGACGGGUGGAGCUUGCGGUUUAAUUGGAUUCAACGCCGGG